RNAcentral lists this unclassified non-coding RNA (258 nucleotides) under uncultured fungus. Its description in RNAcentral is "partial contains 18S rRNA, ITS1, 5.8S rRNA". The record is from RNAcentral. Lineage: Eukaryota; Fungi.
GCAGAAGGGUCAUUAGUGAAGAUUUGGGCAGGCCAUACGGACGCCAAAAAGUGUCCCUGGCCGCCUACACCCACUAUACAUCCACAAACCCGUGUGCACUGUCUUGGAGAAAGGCUUCAGAGAAGUUUUUUGUGGCCUCUCUUGGGGUCUUUCUUCGCUACAAACUCGAAUGGUUAGUAUGAACGUGGAACUUGGUUGGACCGUCACUGGCCAACAAACUAUACACAACUUUCGACAACGGAUCUCUUGGUUCUCCCA